This is a long non-coding RNA of Mobula hypostoma (lesser devil ray), 2478 nucleotides long. RefSeq lists it as uncharacterized. The transcript is spliced from 3 exons. The record is from RefSeq and is a predicted model, not a curated record. NCBI's taxonomy places the organism in Eukaryota, Metazoa, Chordata, Chondrichthyes, Myliobatiformes, Myliobatidae.
GGUGCAGACUCCUAUCUGUCUCACUCCGACAGGGAAUGCAGCACUAGCUGCCCGGGUCCUAGCGCCUUCAUGUUACUGCCUGUUCCAGUUCUGACACUGUUGUAAUGUAUGAAAAUCUUCAAUCAAUUUUCACAUAGGAAGAUUCUGCAAAUGAUGCAGUUUGAGGCCUCUGUUGGUCAGGGUCAACCACGGAUGCUGUGUCCUAGUUGUCAUGCUUAAGCCAGGGCAGUACGAAAUGGAGAGCAUCUGUUGCCUAUGGAGGAGGCUCCCCCCUCCACGCAGCCGAUGAAUCUAAAGGAUCGGCCAAGACUGAUACAUUUUGGCACCAGCAGCAUCGCAGAAGUUGCCAGUCAGGGUUAAACAACGUUGGACACCUUUAGGAACCCCAGCUUUGGAUCUUUCCUCAUUGUUUACUCCCGAGGCCUUCCCCACGAGUGGGUAGAAUCGCAAGGCAAUGAAGGUUUGAGGUCAGAGUUGUACUUCUUCUAGAUAAGCUGCCAACCACGACUGACAAGCUUCAUCUGCCUGAAGUGAUUGGUUUUAAGGCUACAGUAACUCGCCUUAGUCUCUUUUUCUGUCAAUAGAAAUAGUUCUGCCGUCCUCAGUAGCUAAGCCACAUGUGAAGGCGAGGAGCUGGACUUGGAGGGUAUUUGAGAUGCACGCCAUUGGGAGCAUUUAAUAGGUAGAGGGAGCUUAUCCUCACUACCACCAACUGCACUCCCCCGCCCCCCCAACCCAGCUAUGACAACUUUAAGGAUCCAACAAUAUAUCAGCAGAUAUUCUGUUCAAGAUUUGGCGGUUAAUGCUACAAAAUGAGGAAAACUUCCUGACAUUCUUUCAACCUACCCAAUGUCUUUUUUCAUGUUAAGGGAACAAGAUCUCGGUUUUCUGAUACAUCUGCAAGAUAGCAGCUUUGAAGUGCAGCACUGAAUAAGGAUUAGGAGCAAACGUUUCUGGCCUGCAAGUUCAUCUCAAAACAAUAAAAGUUAUAGGAAGUCUUGAUCAAAUUGCAAACUGUUUUGGCUACAUCAUAUCUUACAAAUGUAAGUAUGAUGCCUACUAUUAACCAUCAAAUGCAAGAAAUAUUCUCACACACUGGAGGUAGUCCAGAUAAGAGCUGCAAGACUAUUGUUCUCAUCUGAAGAAUGAGUAUAAAGAUUAAGGGCCAGAUUACUGAACAAAACAUUAUAACUGAACGCUUCACAUUUUGGAAAACUUACCUUGUACAUCUGGUCAGUUCAGUCCAGACGAGCUGAUGGAAAUGGGUAAUCACAGUGGCAGUGUGGCUUAUAAAGGAUAAUCAGGAGACUGCUAGAAUCUGGGGGUGCUCAAAGAAACUGAAGGGCUGAGCCAUGGAAGGAGAUGGGCGGUGUUGCAAAAUUAGAAGUGGGGAGGGAAGCUACAUGAGUGGCAGUGCAAUGGAAAACCACUGACUGAGACGCUGAUGGAGACAGAAAUCCUGCCCCACAUUUUCAAAGUUCAUGGAUGAGCACAGGACCAAGGACCAAAGGCUGGACAAUGAACACAAUCUGCUUUGACAGCCAAGGACACGAACAGCUGAACACCACUAUGGGCAGAAGUGGAAUUUGCUCCUGUUAGCCUACUUAGAGAGCUGCCUUGACCUUGUUUUUUGCCAGUGAGUCCAAUCACAACAGAACACUCUACCUUUGAAUCAUGUGGAAGAUUGACUCACAAUUUCAUUGGUUAUGAAUCUGUUUUCCAGGAGCAAUGUUAUGCUGCUUAUCUCUGAUGAGUUCCUUCAGGUUUGAACCAACUCAGUGAUGAGAAGGACCUCCUUGCAAAUGCUCCGCACAUUCAGUUAAUGGGCCAAUCAAAUGUACACUGAAUAAAUGACCCCACUGGUUUUGAUUUGUCAUUUUGUUCACAGUGAUUUAUAACUAACUAAGCAAAUACAGAGUAAGAUUGCUGUGAAGUUGGGUGUUACGUAUCUAAACUGCUGAUUAUCACAUUUGCAGAAAAAGCUCAGUGUUACACGACUGAUUCGUUGAAAGCAUUUAACUGUGUUAGAAAAAUAUACUCAACAGUCUUCAGGGUGCCAGCAUUUCUAUAUACUGGAAUUUUUUAUCUUGGGCCAUCUGCUUAUGACAUCACUAUAACAUCACUAAUGAAUGCACUUUACUUCACAAUCUAUUAAAUAAGAUUCAACAUAAAUAUAUACUCUGUGUUGAUAUUUUCAACAUUAAUUUCUAUGCCAAUAAAUUCUUGCUGGAGAAAAAACAAGUUUAUUCAGAUUGCAACAUUAAUUUUUGUAAAUGUCAACUAACUUGUUAAUUAAUGUUGACUGUCUAAAAUACCUGAGUUAGUUAAAUUGUGCUAAUUGGCAUUUCAUAUUAUUGCUUAUGGUUUUAAGUAGGUUGGUUACCACUGCCUGUUGUAUUUGGAAGUUCUGGAUAUGAUUGGUUAAUGAGAUUCUACAGUAGUAUGGCACUAUGGUGACAAAACUAAUAUACAAAUAUA